Molecule: long non-coding RNA, 2926 nt
Organism: Gallus gallus (chicken)
Lineage: Eukaryota; Metazoa; Chordata; Aves; Galliformes; Phasianidae
Exons: 2
Source: RefSeq, a predicted model, not a curated record
AGUGGUGCUGUUGCUUUGGGGGCUGUGUUGUGAGUCCUUCUGGCUGAAGGUGUUUUUGAGGUAGGCUGGGCAUGGUCUGUGUGGCAGGCUGACCUGCACUGCUCUGUCUGGGCCUCUUGCUGUCUUCUGUCUUCACUCUGCUCAGAAGAACUGCACCCAGGGGCUCUGUGUGUUGGGAGCAAUGUGAGCCCUGCUGGACAUGGAGUGGUGCUGGAGGCCACGGGUGCUGAGGACCACACAGCUGGGGACAUGAGGAUUGCUGCAGGCUGCCCGGUGUGAGCCUGUGAGGAUUGCAGGGCUGUGCCCACCUGUGGGGGUGACUGCACCACAGGUAGUGCUGCCAUGGACUCUGUGAGCUCACAGCCUGCAGGUUGGCUGGGUGGGGACUGCGCCCAUAGGGCCAUCCCCAGCUCUGCCCAUUGCAGGUCAGGACCUGCUCUGUCUGCUCCUCCUGGGUGCCAGUGUAGCCAUCGUUCUGCCUCAUCCAGACCUUCUGACCUCCUCUUGCUGCAUCUUGAGAACCUCUGUGGAACCUGGAGCACCCGAGGGCUUGGCACAGAGCCUGUGGGACUGCAGAGCCUGGGCUCCGGAUGGAAGUGGGCUGAGGUCGCUGGUGUGGUCUGUGCUGGGGCCAAUGCAUUGCAGGCAUCUGCUUUGACUUGGGUGAGUGGGACAGCCUCCAGUACGACUGCUCAAGGUCACCAAACCAGGAGGUGUUUUGGGGUGUUGCUGGCACACAUCAGCGUGCAGAGCUGUUCCUUCGUGCUGCUUGGCCCGAGUGUGAGGUGCCCCUGUAAAGGAGCCCCUUGGAGGGGGCUGAGGUCUGGGGCUGUGGCUGGUCCUGGCCCAUCCCAAUUAGCAAAGAUGUACCUUGAACGUGGUUUACAGACAGGAGAGCCCAGCCCAUACUGAAGAGCCAACAGAUGGGGUCUGGUCCCUGUCUCAUCCUUGUGGCCUUCUGAGCGUGACAGCCCUUCUCCUGCUCCCACUGUGGCAUCUUCCUGCCCAGCCACGAUCCUUCAGCAAUGAAACCCAGCAAGAUGUGCUUCUCCUGCUGCCGCCCCUCCUUAUGCCCAGCUGGAGCUGAGCUCUUCUUCCCACAGGUACAGGGAGUGCUGUGGCUCCCUGGGCUCUGUGUGCCCCUGGGAGAGUCGUGGCCACGUUCCGUGGGGCAAGGAGGCGGGCAGGGUGAUGCCCUCAUGCCCUAAGCCAGCGAGCUGGGUGCAGGGCUGGAGCACGCCCCUGAGGAGGACAACCCAUAACACGUGCUACCCCUGGAGAGCCAAACCCUGGUGCAACUCUCCCUGUAGCUCCCAUGAUGGGGGACAGCUGCUGUCCCAAGGCUGCUGUGCUGAUGCACGAUAGGCCGUGAUGGGCUCUGCUUUCCUCGUGCCCAGCAUAAGGGCAGAGUGUGGGGCACAUCCACCCCCAGGGUGACGGAUGGCCGUCCCUCUGCUGUCUGUCCCAGGCUCCUGGCCGCAGUGCCACCACAGUGCACGGUGAGGUACAGCCCUGGGCCACCAGCACUGUGUGUACAUUGCACAGUCUGGGGAAAUACUGCUGUGUUUAUUGCAGUGUUGCAGCACCAUCUAGUGCUGCUGCCCGGGGAAGCCGGACACCCUGGAGCUCCCACGGAGGUUACUGCAGCACCGUGGGGACAGGACGUGCUGGAUGGUGUCCCUUGGGUCGUGCUGAGGCUGUGCCACUGAGACCGGGGAUGUGGGUGGCUCUGCGCUGGUGAGCUGAGGACUGGGAUAGGUGAGUGUUUGGUAUGGCCACGUCCCACUGACAGCAGCCUCAGAACCACGGGGUUUUCUUGCCUAAAUCCCACACCAGGCAUCCUUAGCACCCUAUAGGGUGUCUCCUGGCCAGGAGGGGACUUGGUGCCACUGGGUGCCCCUGCUCUGUGCUUGGAGACCUCUGCAAGGAUGCUGGGAUGCAUAAAGGGUGCAGACAUCCCCAGCGCCUGGACAGGAUCAUGCACCCUGCCCAUGUGAGUGCCGAGCCCAAACACGGGCUGCACCCAAGUCCUGCCUCGCCGAGGGUCCAGCAGUCGGAGGUUUCCGUCAGGUGGACUUCGGGCACAUUGGGUUGAAAGCAAGGCCUUUGGCUGCCGAGCUGCACCAAGUCACUGGGCAGCCCCCUCCCCAAACGAUACAAGGUGUUGCUGGCUCUUCCCACAGACUGCCCAGGAGUGGGAUUUCCCUGCCUCGAAAGAAGACAGAGGGACCCAAACCUCCCCAGCCUGUGCCAGCUGCCACAGAGGGAACACCGCUAUUGCUGGAUGUCAUCCCUCAGCGAGGUGUCAUUGAGAGAGCUGCUGUGUAACAAUAAUAACGCUCUUCUCAUAGCGAUUAAUGAUCCCGCUUUCGACUCAGCCAGGAGAAUUGGGCUUUUACCUCCCACCCACGCACUGAAUGGCUGAAUUUGGGAUCGGAAAUGAUGCGCUUCAAUUCCCUGCAUCUCUCCUGAAAAUCUCAAGCGUGAGCACAGGAUGGGCUGAGCCAGGCAUCGAGUGAUCGUAAAGUGGUGGUUGUGAGCAGAGGCCGAAGAUAAACUCUUCCCAAGAGUCACACUGGCUACAACUGCAGAGCCCUGUUCUGCUGCUGGUGUGAGUGGUAACAGAGUGCGCUGCCAGGCAUUCCUGUAGUGGAAAGAAGAACACACAGAAUCAACAUUGCUUCCCUUCUUUGGACGGUAGGAAUGUUUUAAUUGAGAAAUUUGUUUUAAUUACAUUAGGUGAUAUCACAGUCUAUUUUACAAGUUCAGGGUAAGAGGAAGCGUGGACCGGUUACACAGAAAUCCAGUGAAAGGAUAAAAACCUACAACAUGAGAAAACGAAAAGGUUAACUUAAUGCCUCAAAAAGGAAACGCGUUGAGUUUGGUGUGAGUGGAAUGGGAGGUUUUUUAACAGGAUCCAUAGAAG